This 299-nucleotide ribosomal RNA is filed under the name Navicula sp. RCC5230. RNAcentral's name for it is "partial small subunit ribosomal RNA". It matches the Rfam family "Eukaryotic small subunit ribosomal RNA", at positions 627 to 930 of the family's 1831-position model. The record is from RNAcentral. Lineage: Eukaryota; Bacillariophyta; Bacillariophyceae; Naviculales; Naviculaceae.
CUCGUAGUUGGAUUUGUGGCGUACGGUGUGUUCCGGGCACUUGUUGUCUGAGUAACCUGCCGUUGCCAUCCUUGGGUGGAACCUGUGUGGCAUUAGGUUGUCGUGCAGGGGAUGCCCAUCAUUUACUGUGAAAAAAUUAGAGUGUUCAAAGCAGGCUUAUGCCGUUGAAUAUAUUAGCAUGGAAUAAUAAGAUAGGACUUGUUUGCUAUUUUGUUGGUUUGCGCAAAUAGGUAAUGAUUAAUAGGGACAGUUGGGGGUAUUCGUAUUCCAUUGUCAGAGGUGAAAUUCUUGGAUUUUUG